RNAcentral lists this long non-coding RNA (3438 nucleotides) under Cricetulus griseus (Chinese hamster). RNAcentral describes it as "lncRNA (ENSCGRG00015033027.1)". Lineage: Eukaryota; Metazoa; Chordata; Mammalia; Rodentia; Cricetidae. The record is from RNAcentral.
UACAGCAACAUGGGCACCUUACCAGUGGCUACGACCCUUAAAACAUGCCUCUCCCUCCCUCCCUCCCCUUUCAACUGUUAAUUUCAUAUGAAUUUGGAAGAAGAGAGAUACAAGGGCCCCUCCCCACCUCCAUGACAGGGCAUUAACAGACCCAGUCUCAUGUAGGUUGGUAAUCAUGGCUGCAUAACAGAGCCAUUCAAGAGUUCGGAGUUCAAGAGUGCCAGCAGGCAUGCCAUGCCAUGCCAUACUUGGAACUCUAUCCUAUCCUCUCCCUCUCCUUCCCAGGAUCUUAGAUUCUUCCAUGCCAUUCUCUGAGCCUUGGAGGAGGUAACACAAGAUGUAUUGCUUAUGGCUUGGCACUCACAGUCAUGAUGCAGUCACUGCUGCCCACUGCAGAAAGAAGCUUCUCUGACCAAAGCUGACAACACUACACAACACCAUAAACAGUUACUAAGCAGGCAAUUUGAUAGCUACAUCAGGUCUGUUUAACAAAACACCAGCUGUAGCUUUCCCAGGGGGGCCCAGAAUCUCCCCAGUCAUGUCCUGUUGGCCGGGUUUACAGGAUCAGGCACGAAUUCCCUCCUGUGGAGCAGGCAUAAAUUCCAAUCAGAUAGUUGGUUACUCUCACAACAGAAAUGCCACUGUUGCACCAGUAGGCUCAUCUUGCCUGGUCAGUCAGUAUUGUUACACAAACAAUUCACAGCCCAGUAAGCAUGUGGAUGACAAUUCUCCCCCAACACCCUACUAAGCAUUACUAGUACCUUAAAGGCAUUACUAGUACCUUAAAGGCUGGCCACAAGGAAGAGGCUGCCUGCCUAAUUUCAAUUUAAUUUCCUUUUGUACUGUGACCAAGAUAUGUGGCAUUUUCAGCAACUGAGUCUUACCAUCUACCAUCUGACACCAUCAUAGCUGGGCUUUUUGCUCUUAUCUACAACAUAGCCAUUUGAUCACCCUUUUCCACCCCAAUCCCUCCUGCUCGUUCCAGUUUCUGGUAUUUUUUUUUUAAGAUUAUUUAUUUACUUAUUUAUUAUAUAUACAACAUUCUGCUUCCAUGUAUAUCUGCACACCAGAAGAGGGCACCAGAUCUCAUAACGGAUGGUUGUGAGCCACCAUGUGGUUGCUGGAAAAUGAACUCAGGACCUCUGGAAGAGCAGCCGGUGCUCUUAACCUCUGAGCCAUCUCUCCAGCCCCUGGACUGAGGAUUGAAGUCUGGGCUGUUAACCUUGGUAGAACAUGCUCUCUGAGCAGCACCGUGGCAGUCAGCAAAAACAAAUGCCUGAAAGAGGAGGCAAUCCAUUGCCUAAAACAACUUGGCACACUGGGAAAGCUCCAGCUAUGUUCAUUAUUAGAAACACUGGAAAAUCAGUAGUCACAAGGACUCAAGGAGCCUAAACUGCAUCUGAUGGCCUCACAGACUGUGUGUUUGAAGUGAGCUUUGCUGAUUUACAGAAUGACAAAGUUGCAUUUAGAAAAUUUAAGGUAAUUACUGAAGAUGUUCAGGGCAAAAAUUGACUAACUUCAAUGGCAUGGCUCUUAUCCUGGACAAAAUGUGUUCUGUGGUCAAAAAGUGGCAGACUAUGGUUGAAGCUCAUGUUGAUGUCAAGACUGCUGAUGGUUAUUUGCUUCGUCUGUUUUGUGUUGGUUUCACUAAAACCAGAAACAAGCAGGUACACAAAAGUCCUGUGCACAGCAUCACCAGGUCCACUGGAUCAUGGAAAUCAUGACCUGAGAAGUACAGACAAAUGACUUGAAGGAAGUGGUUACUAAAUGUUUCCAGACAACAUUGGGAAAGACAUAGAAAGGGUUUGCUAUUCCAGUUAUCCAUUUCACAGUCUUUGUAAGAAAAGUAAAAAUGCUGAAGAAAAUCAAGUUAGAAAUGAGAAAAUAAAUGGAGCUCCAUAGUGAAGGUUCUGGAAAAACUACUGGUGACAAGACAGGUGUUAAAGUUGAAUGAGCUAAUGGAUGGGAACCUCUAGUCCAAGAAUCUGUUUAAAACCCAGACUUUUAGUAGGGACAAAUAAAAAGUCCUAUUUGUGAGAGAAAAAGAAAAAAGAAAAAAAUCAUUUUCAUGUGUAAGUAUUCUUUGGUAAUUUUAAUGAAUUCUUUUUUGAGGCAGAGUCUCUUGUAACCCAGCCUGACUUUGAACCCCUUACAGUCAGGAGGCCUCCUGAUUCCACCUCCCAGGUGCUGAGAUUUGAGGCAUGAUGCUGAGCCCACCUAUCAUAUCCUUUAAUGACUGCCCAGCUCUUAUUGGCUUACUUGGAUGAUUUACUCAUUAUUGAUUAUCAAUUUCUCUAUUCCUGUCAGGGGAAAAAAUUCUCUUUUUCAUGAAUAAAGCAGUCUAUCUUCUUCUUAACACUUGAAGAAUCUGAGGCAAAGAAAAGGGUGAGCAAGUUCUUAAGAUCAAUAAAUGAGCCAGGUGACGGUGGUGCAGCCUUUGUUCCCAGCACUCAGGAGGCAGAGGCAGGUAGAUCUCUGAGCUCAAGGCCAACCUAGUCUACAGAAUGAGUUCCAGGACAGCCAGGGUUACACAGAGACACUUUGUCUCAGAAAAAAAUCAAUAAAUGAUAAAGAGCAGAUUCAAAAUAAGACUUGGAUGUUUUUAUUUAUUGGGGGGGGGGGGUGCUGAUAAGACAGGGUCUUAUGUAACCUUCAUUCUGGCCCCUGAACUCAUGAUAUAGACAAAGCAAUCUUGAAUUCCUCUGAAUCUGCACCAAGUGUUGUGGUGACAGGCAUAUAUCAUCAGAGAUGGCUUCUGUUUUAUUUUUAAAAUCUAGGUCCCCAGACUGACCCCAGAAUCAAAAUCUACCUGCCUCAACCUUCCAAGUACUAAGAAAAUUAAGAUUUUUUUUUAAAGCCCAUGUCUGUCGUUCUUUUUUCUCUGUGUACUGAAUUACUGUAUUUAUGGUGAACUCGGGAGCUGACUGCACAUUGAAAUCCCCAGGAGCUUUGAAACCACACCCCAGAUCAAUGAAGACAAAAUAUCUGAGGGCGGGUGGAGGGUUGGGAUUUUUCCUUUCUUUUUAAGAAUUCUGGUCUUGUUUGUUUGUUUUAUUGAUUGGCUGGUUUUAGGAUUUUCACACUGUAGCCCAGCCUGUCCUGGAACCCAUGUGUAGCACAGGCUGGCCUCAAACUCAUGGCAAUCUGUUUGCCCCAACCUCCCACUGCUAGGGUCACAGACAUGUACCACCACUCAUGGCUCAUGUUUAAGCUGAGUUUGAGAGUCAUGUGCAGCUGAGUUUGAGAACCACUUGAUAAGUUCUUACAUUCAAAAUUCUGUGAAGUUUGAAUGCCAUUUGCUAUCCCUCAUCCCUAAAAUGAUAGACCCUACACACAUCUUUUCAUAGUGUAAUCUGAGAAUGGAAUGUAACCUAUCAAGGUAGAGCUGUAAGAUAAAAGCUUUAAUCUUUCUGAAAUGCUUUUACUUAUAAAAUAAAG